Apaloderma vittatum (bar-tailed trogon) is the source of this 74-nucleotide non-coding RNA. The record is from Rfam. Lineage: Eukaryota; Metazoa; Chordata; Aves; Trogoniformes; Trogonidae.
GGGCCAGUCAGCUCAGUCAGCUGAGCGUGGCACUAACAACGCCAAGGUCACGGGUUCGAUUCCCGUUUGGUGCC